CUUCAGUGUCCCGGUGCGGUUAGUCACGUUUCGUGCGUGCUCAUUCUGCCAAGAUGCCUGAGGAAACCCAGACCCAAGACCAACCAAUGGAGGAGGAGGAGGUCGAGACCUUUGCCUUUCAGGCAGAAAUUGCCCAGUUAAUGUCCUUGAUCAUCAACACUUUCUACUCGAACAAAGAGAUCUUUCUGAGGGAGCUCAUUUCCAACUCCUCAGACGCUCUGGAUAAGAUCAGAUACGAGAGCUUGACCGACCCUAGUAAACUGGACUCGGGGAAGGAGCUGCACAUUAAUCUCAUUCCCAACAAGCAAGACUGAACCCUCACUAUUGUGGAUACUGGCAUUGGAAUGACCAAGGCUGACUUGAUCAAUAACCUUGGCACUAUUGCCAAGUCAGGCACCAAAGCCUUCAUGGAGGCUUUGCAGGCUGGUGCAGAUAUCUCUAUGAUUGGCCAGUUUGGUGUUGGUUUUUACUCUGCGUAUUUGGUUGCUGAGAAAGUGACUGUCAUCACCAAGCAUAAUGAUGAUGAGCAGUACGCCUGGGAGUCCUCAGCUGGGGGAUCCUUCACUGUGAGGACAGACACAGGUGAACCAAUGGGUCGUGGAACAAAGGUUAUCUUGCAUCUAAAAGAAGACCAAACUGAGUAUUUGGAGGAAAGGAGAAUAAAAGAAAUUGUGAAGAAACAUUCUCAGUUUAUUGGCUACCCCAUUACUCUCUUUGUGGAGAAGGAACGUGACAAGGAAGUCAGUGAUGAUGAGGCUGAAGAAAAGGAAGAGAAAGAGGAAGAGAAAGAAAAAGAAGAAAAGGAGUCUGAUGACAAGCCUGAAAUAGAAGAUGUUGGUUCUGAUGAAGAAGAAGAAGAGAAGAAGGAUGGUGACAAGAAGAAAAAGAAGAAGAUAAAGGAAAAGUACAUUGAUCAAGAAGAACUCAACAAAACAAAGCCGAUUUGGACCAGAAAUCCUGAUGACAUUCUGAAUGAAGAAUCGGAGAGUUCUACAAAAGCUUAACCAACGAUUGGGAGGAAGAACAUUUGGCAGUAAAAGCAUUUUUUCUGUUGAAGGACAAUUAAAUUGGCUCUUCUUUUUUGGCUUUUGAUCUAUUUGAGAACAGAAAGAAAAAGAACAACAUCAAGUUGUAUGUACGCAGAGUUUUUAUCAUGGAUAACUGUGAAGAGUUAAUCCCCGAGUAUCUGAAUUUCAUCAGAGGGGUGGUGGAUUCUGAGGAUCUCCCUCUAAAUAUUUCCCGUGAAAUGCUGCAACAAAGCAAAAUUCUGAAAGUUAUCAGGAAGAAUUUGGUCAAGAAAUGCCUAGAACUAUUUACUGAACUGGCUGAAGAUAAAGAGAACUACAAAAAGUUUUAUGAGCAGUUCUCAAAAAAUAUAAAGCUUGGAAUUCAUGGUUCCAGAGCUAUUGAGAUACUUCUGCUUCUGGGGAUGAGAUGGUUUCUCUGAAGGACUACUGCCAGAAUGAAGGAAACCAAGCACAUCUAUUUUAUCACUGAGACCAAGGACCAGGUUUUAACUCAGCCUUUUUCCGAAAAGCAUGGCUUUAAUCUAUAUGAUUGGGCCCAUUGAUGAGUAUUGUGUGCAACAGCUGAAAAUUUGAGGGCAAGACCUUGUGUCUUUACCAAGAAGACUGGAACUUCCAGAAGAUGAAGAGGAAAAGAAGAAACAGGGAAGAAAAAAAGACAAAAUUUGAGAACCUCUGCAAAAUUAUGAAAUAUUUUGGAAAAAAGGUUGAAAAGGUGGUUGUGUCAAACCGAUUGGUGACAUCCCAUGCUGUAUUGUCACAAGAUACGGCUGGACCAAAAUGGAGAGAAUCCUCAAGCCCUCAGAGACAACUCAACAAUCUACAUGGCAGCAAAGAAAAGAAACACCUGGAGAUAAAAUGAUCACUCCAUUAUUGAAACCUUAAGGCAAAAGGCAGAGGCUGACAAGAAUUUGAAAGAUCUGGUCAUUUGUUUUGUCUUUUUGAUCCCCAGAAUAACAGGAUUACAGGAUGAUCAAGCUUGGUCAGGUAUUGAUGAGGAUGACCCUACUGUGGAUGAUUGUGCUGUUGAAGAAAACCACCCCUGGAAGGAGAUGAUGACACAUCACGCAUGGAAGAAGUAGACUAGGCUUCACCAGAACUAUGUGUUUGAUGCUUACCUUCAUUCCUUCUGAUAAUAUAUUUUCCAGAUU
Rattus rattus (black rat) is the source of this 2176-nucleotide RNA transcript. It is a transcript of the gene named heat shock protein HSP 90-alpha-like, with no coding region annotated. The record is from RefSeq and is a predicted model, not a curated record. The transcript has a single exon. Lineage: Eukaryota; Metazoa; Chordata; Mammalia; Rodentia; Muridae.